GAACAUACGGUUGGCUAGGUGGCCACCCAAAAGUUGGUGUUCUUCAAGAAAGUCGAAUGGAUCCACUUGCACCAUAAAGACUCUUUAUCGCAAAAUAGGUUC
This is a long non-coding RNA of Rhodamnia argentea, 102 nucleotides long. RefSeq lists it as uncharacterized. The transcript is spliced from 3 exons. The record is from RefSeq and is a predicted model, not a curated record. NCBI's taxonomy places the organism in Eukaryota, Viridiplantae, Streptophyta, Magnoliopsida, Myrtales, Myrtaceae.